UGAGGAAUAUUGGUCAAUGGACGAGAGUCUGAACCAGCCAAGUAGCGUGCAGGAUGACGGCCCUAUGGGUUGUAAACUGCUCUUGUUUGGGAAUAAUCGACAUUACGUGUAAUGUUUUGCAUGUACCAUUCGAAUAAGGACCGGCUAAUUCCGAGCCAGCAGCCGCGGUAAUACGGAAGGUCCAGGCGUUAUCCGGAUUUAUUGGGUUUAAAGGGAGUGUAGGCGGUUGGUUAAGCGUGUUGUGAAAUGUAGAUGCUCAACAUCUGACUUGCAGCGCGAACUGGCUGACUUGAGUACACACAACGUAGGCGGAAUUCAUGGUGUAGCGGUGAAAUGCUUAGAUAUAAUGAAGAACUCCGAUUGAGAAGGCAGCUUACGGGAGUGUUACUGACGCUUAAGCUCGAAGGUGCGGGUAUCGAACAGG
Molecule: ribosomal RNA, 424 nt
Filed under: Verrucomicrobiota bacterium
Lineage: Bacteria; Pseudomonadati; Verrucomicrobiota
Description: Verrucomicrobia bacterium partial 16S ribosomal RNA
Rfam family: Bacterial small subunit ribosomal RNA
Source: RNAcentral